Molecule: non-coding RNA, 108 nt
Organism: Acanthosepion pharaonis
Lineage: Eukaryota; Metazoa; Mollusca; Cephalopoda; Sepiida; Sepiidae
Source: the annotation of a GenBank genome assembly
UUACGGCCACAUCAUUUUGAAACACCCUGUCCCGUACAAUCACCGAAGUUAAGCAACUUCGAGCAGUGUUAAUACUUAGAUGGGUGACCGCUUGGGAAUACCAGAUGG